Molecule: long non-coding RNA, 299 nt
Organism: Cynara cardunculus var. scolymus (artichoke)
Lineage: Eukaryota; Viridiplantae; Streptophyta; Magnoliopsida; Asterales; Asteraceae
Exons: 3
Source: RefSeq, a predicted model, not a curated record
CUCAAUCACAUUUGCAUAGCAAGCUUCUUCUAUUCGAAUUUGAUUUGAGCUUGAGGUAGCGUACGAAAACCCUAACCCUUGAUUUCUGAUCUCGAUUUAGUAUCUUCUGUAUGCCCAUCUACCCCUCUAUGGAAUAUCGACACACCUUUCCUCACUGGCCAAUUCCACCAGGAAGUGGAAUCGACACCCGGACUUGCUGAAUCUAAGGGAAAUUCAGUUGAUUUAGGUUUGGAAUAUGAGAAGCCUAUAGGCUGCUACAGUGCUUUAGUGCAGGUAAAGUAGUUGUUUUUAUGUUUGGG